GGGGACAACCCGCCGAAAGGCGGGCUAAACCCGCGUACAUGCCACCGGGGCAUCCCGGAGGCAGGAAAGGCUUCGGCCGGACAGGGAUGGGCAUGCGGCGCAUUAGGCAGUAGGCGGGGUAACGGCCCACCUAACCGACGAUGCGUAGGGGUUCUGAGAGGAAGGUCCCCCACACUGGUACUGAGACACGGACCAGACUCCUACGGGAGGCAGCAGUGAGGAAUAUUGGUCAAUGGUCGGGAGACUGAACCAGCCAAGCCGCGUGAGGGAUGAAGGUACAGAGUAUCGUAAACCUCUUUUGUCAGGGAACAAAGGCGGGGACGUGUCCCCGGAUGAGUGUACCUGAAGAAAAAGCAUCGGCUAACUCCGUGCCAGCAGCCGCGGUAAUACGGAGGAUGCGAGCGUUAUCCGGAUUUAUUGGGUUUAAAGGGUGCGCAGGCGGUCUGUUAAGUCAGCGGUCAAAGCCCGGGGCUCAACCCCGGCUCGCCGUUGAAACUGGCAGUCUCGAGUUGGAGAGAAGUAUGCGGAAUGCGCGGUGUAGCGGUGAAAUGCAUAGAUAUCGCGCAGAACUCCGAUUGCGAAGGCAGCAUGCCGGCUCCACACUGACGCUGAGGCACGAAAGCGUGGGUAUCGAACAGGAUUAGAUACCCUGGUAGUCCACGCAGUAAACG
RNAcentral lists this ribosomal RNA (671 nucleotides) under uncultured bacterium. RNAcentral's name for it is "bacterial SSU rRNA". It matches the Rfam family "Bacterial small subunit ribosomal RNA", at positions 139 to 808 of the family's 1533-position model. The record is from RNAcentral.